RNAcentral lists this unclassified non-coding RNA (166 nucleotides) under soil metagenome. RNAcentral describes it as "partial contains 5.8S ribosomal RNA, internal transcribed spacer 2, and large subunit ribosomal RNA". The record is from RNAcentral.
AACGCACGAGACCUGCGGACCUGCGGAGGGAUCAUUAGUGAACGCCCUCACGGGCUUAUAACUAUUCCAAACCUCUGUGAACCGUGCCCCUCGGGGCUAUUUUACAAACAUGGUGUAAUGAACGUCAUAUAUCAUAACAAAACAAAACUUUUAGCAAUGGAUCUCU